This 73-nucleotide transfer RNA is filed under the name Diaphorina citri (Asian citrus psyllid). It matches the Rfam family "tRNA". From Rfam's summary of the family: Transfer RNA (tRNA) molecules are approximately 80 nucleotides in length. Their secondary structure includes four short double-helical elements and three loops (D, anti-codon, and T loops). Lineage: Eukaryota; Metazoa; Arthropoda; Insecta; Hemiptera; Psyllidae. The record is from Rfam by way of RNAcentral.
GCCUAGUUAGCUUUGAAGGUAGCGCACCCGCCUUGUAAGCGCUAGGUCGCGGGUUCGGUUCCCGCCCAGGGCG